GACGAACGCUGGCGGCGUGCCUAACACAUGCAAGUCGAACGGAGCAGAGACUUCGGUUUUUGCUUAGUGGCGAACGGGUGAGUAACGCGUGAGAAACCUGCCUUUCAGUGGGGGACAACAGUUGGAAACGACUGCUAAUACCGCAUAAUGUAUUUUAGGGGCAUCCCUUUGAUACCAAAGCUUUAUGUGCUGAAAGAUGGUCUCGCGUCUGAUUAGCUAGUUGGUGAGGUAACGGCUCACCAAAGGCGACGAUCAGUAGCCGGUCUGAGAGAAUGAACGGCCACAUUGGGACUGAGAUACGGCCCAG
RNAcentral lists this ribosomal RNA (307 nucleotides) under uncultured bacterium. Its description in RNAcentral is "bacterial SSU rRNA". It matches the Rfam family "Bacterial small subunit ribosomal RNA", at positions 28 to 334 of the family's 1533-position model. The record is from RNAcentral.